AUUAAACGCUGGCGGCAUGCCUUACACAUGCAAGUCGAACGGCAGCACGGGGCAACCUGGUGGCGAGUGGCGAACGGGUGAGUAAAGCAUCGGAACGUGCCCUGGAGUGGGGGAUAACGUAGCGAAAGUUACGCUAAUACCGCAUAUUCUGUGAGCAGGAAAGCAGGGGGAUCGCAAGACCUUGCGCUCUGGGAGCGGCCGAUGUCGGAUUAGCUAGUUGGUGGGGUAAAGGCCUACCAAGGCGACGAUCCGUAGCGGGUCUGAGAGGAUGAUCCGCCACACUGGGACUGAGACACGGCCCAGACUCCUACGGGAGGCAGCAGUGGGGAAUUUUGGACAAUGGGCGGAAGCCUGAUCCAGCCAUGCCGCGUGAGUGAAGAAGGCC
This 385-nucleotide ribosomal RNA is filed under the name uncultured bacterium. Its description in RNAcentral is "bacterial SSU rRNA". It matches the Rfam family "Bacterial small subunit ribosomal RNA", at positions 29 to 416 of the family's 1533-position model. The record is from RNAcentral.